GUUUCUAUGGUGUAGUGGUUAGCACGGUCGCCUCCGACGCGACAGACUCGGGUUCAAAUCCCGAAGGAUACU
Molecule: non-coding RNA, 72 nt
Organism: Penaeus vannamei (Pacific white shrimp)
Lineage: Eukaryota; Metazoa; Arthropoda; Malacostraca; Decapoda; Penaeidae
Source: the annotation of a RefSeq genome assembly